AUUGAACGCCGGCGGCAUGCUUUACACAUGCAAGUCGAGCGGUAACAGGCCUUCGGGUGCUGACGAGUGGCGAACGGGUGGGUAAUGCAUCGGAACGUACCCAGAGGUGGGGGAUAACGCAGCGAAAGCUGUGCUAAUACCGCAUGUGAUCUGAGGAUGAAAGCGGGGGACCGAGCAGCAAUGUUUGGCCUCGCGCCUUUGGAGCGGCCGAUGUCGGAUUAGCUAGUUGGUGGGGUAAAGGCCUACCAAGGCGACGAUCCGUAGCUGGUCUGAGAGGACGACCAGCCACACUGGGACUGAGACACGGCCCAGACUCCUACGGGAGGCAGCAGUGGGGAAUUUUGGACAAUGGGCGCAAGCCUGAUCCAGCAAUGCCGCGUGCGGGAAGAAGGCCUUCGGGUUGUAAACCGCUUUUGGCAGGAACGAAACGGUGUCCGCUAAUACCGGGCGCUAAUGACGGUACCUGCAGAAUAAGCACCGGCUAACUACGUG
This 492-nucleotide ribosomal RNA is filed under the name uncultured bacterium. RNAcentral's name for it is "partial 16S ribosomal RNA". It matches the Rfam family "Bacterial small subunit ribosomal RNA", at positions 29 to 507 of the family's 1533-position model. The record is from RNAcentral.